RNAcentral lists this ribosomal RNA (255 nucleotides) under uncultured bacterium. Its description in RNAcentral is "partial 16S ribosomal RNA". It matches the Rfam family "Bacterial small subunit ribosomal RNA", at positions 524 to 776 of the family's 1533-position model. The record is from RNAcentral.
UACGUAGGGUGCAAGCGUUAAUCGGAAUUAUUGGGCGUAAAGGGCGCGUAGGCGGUGCGGUAAGUCUGCAGUGAAAUCUCUGGGCUCAACUCAGAGUCUGCUGUAGAAACUGCCGUGCUUGAGUGUGGGAGAGGUGAGUGGAAUUCCCGGUGUAGCGGUGAAAUGCGUAGAGAUUAGGAAGAACACCAGUGGCGAAGGCGGCUCACUGGCCCGGUACUGACGCUGGAGGCGACGAAAGCGUGGGGAGCAAACAGG